Long non-coding RNA from Cervus elaphus (red deer), 310 nucleotides. RefSeq lists it as uncharacterized. The transcript has 3 exons. Lineage: Eukaryota; Metazoa; Chordata; Mammalia; Artiodactyla; Cervidae. The record is from RefSeq and is a predicted model, not a curated record.
CCAAAGAAGAGGCUGGGAAAAACCCUUUGUAAACUAAGGAGCCGCCAUCAUAAAUGCAAGAGAAAAGACAAGUUAACCUUUUUGAAAACAGUCAGGUGUUCCUGCCUCCACAACUGGCUUUGCAACACUGAGGAGUCCUUUCACAUGGCUUGGUCUGGAAGCUUCUGAGACUGCAGAACAGACGUCAGCAGUCUUUGCAGAGAACACCCACAAGGCGACAAAGAAACCAACUUGACAUGAGGGUCCCCGUGGACUCACACGCUGGGAAAGCUUGACAUUCCUGACCCGGCCCUGAGACCUCCACCCAGAC